UACGUAGGGGGCUAGCGUUGUCCGGAAUCAUUGGGCGUAAAGCGCGUGUAGGCGGUCCGGUAAGUCCGCUGUGAAAGUCGGGGGCUCAACCCUCGAAUGCCGGUGGAUACUGUCGGGCUAGAGUGCGGAAGAGGCGAGUGGAAUUCCUGGUGUAGCGGUGAAAUGCGCAGAUAUCAGGAAGAACACCCGUGGCUAAGGCGGCUCUCUAGUACGUGACUGACGCUGAGACGCGAAAGCGUGGGGAGCGAACAGG
This 253-nucleotide ribosomal RNA is filed under the name uncultured bacterium. RNAcentral describes it as "partial 16S ribosomal RNA". It matches the Rfam family "Bacterial small subunit ribosomal RNA", at positions 524 to 776 of the family's 1533-position model. The record is from RNAcentral.